AUUGAACGCUGGCGGCAUGCUUUACACAUGCCAGUCGAACGGUAACAGGCCGCAAGGUGCUGACGAGUGGCGAACGGGUGAGUAAUUCAUCGGAACGUGCCCAGUCGUGGGGGAUAACUACUCGAAAGAGUAGCUAAUACCGCAUACGAUCUAUGGAUGAAAGCGGGGGACCGUAAGGCCUCGCUCGAUUGGAGCGGCCGAUGUCAGAUUAGGUAGUUGGUGGGGUAAAGGCUCAACAAGCCAACGAUCUGUAGCUGGUCUGAGAGGACGACCAGCCACACUGGGACUGAGACACGGCCCAGACUCCUACGGGAGGCAGCAGUGGGGAAUUUUGGACAAUGGGCGCAAGCCUGAUCCAGCAAUGCCGCGUGCAGGAAGAAGGCCUUCGGGUUGUAAACUGCUUUUGUACGGAACGAAACGGCUCUGGUUAAUACCCGGGGCUAAUGACGGUACCGUAAGAAUAAGCACCGGCUAACUACGUG
RNAcentral lists this ribosomal RNA (482 nucleotides) under uncultured bacterium. Its description in RNAcentral is "partial 16S ribosomal RNA". It matches the Rfam family "Bacterial small subunit ribosomal RNA", at positions 30 to 507 of the family's 1533-position model. The record is from RNAcentral.